AGUACAGCAAGUGGGGCUGGACAAAGGGCGUUGCUCCACGUCACUCUACGGAGAUCUUUAUACAACUCCUGCUUAACUGUGGGUAGUUGCUCCUCCAGUUUGUCUUAGGUCGAGCAGAUUUUAAUAGAAGUAAACUUGCGAACUAAGUCGGCCGGGCCACAUCGGCGAGCGCUGGGGGGCCGGCGUCGCCAUGACGCAGGUCAGCAGCGAGGAGUUCGGCGCGCUGCCCGAUGGCAGGCGUGUGCGCCGCUUCCUGCUGCGGUCCGACUCGGUGUCGCUCCGCGUUCAGACGUUCGGCGCCAUCGUGACGGGCCUGGAGACCAAGGACCGGCGUGGCAACGCUGCGGACCUCAUCCUGGGCUUCGACACCCUCGAAGGCUACAUUAACAAGCAUCCCUACUUCGGGGCAGUGAUUGGCCGUGUUGCCAACAGAAUUGCAGAAGGGAAAUUCAGCAUAGAUGGGAAGGAUUAUCAACUGCCCAUUAAUAAUGGGCCUAAUAGUAUACAUGGUGGCCUGAAAGGAUUUGACAAGGUCCUUUGGACCCCUGAAGCCCUACCCAAUGGAGUGAGGUUUUCAAUGACGAGUGCUGAUGGUGAAGAGGGAUAUCCUGGAGAGCUUAAAGUCUCGGUGUCUUAUGUGCUGGAUGGAAAAGAACUGACUAUUAACUACAAGGCUGAAGCCACCAAGACCACACCAAUAAACCUGACCAACCAUUCCUACUUCAAUCUAGCUGGACAUGGAACCCCCAAUAUCUAUGACCAUGAAGUUUCAAUAGAAGCUGAUUACUAUCUACCGGUUGAUAAGACAUCAAUUCCAACUGGUGAAAUUGCCUCAGUCGCAAACACUUACUUUGAUCUGAGAAAACCUGUAGUACUUGAAAACCUCAUUGAGAAUAAGCUAAUGGAAGGCUUUGACCACAAUUUCUGUUUAAGCCUCUCAAAGCAACGAUCACCUUGUGCAAGGGUAUAUCAUCAGCCAAGUGGCAGGCUGCUGGAGGUUGAGACAACACAGCCUGGAAUUCAGUUUUACACUGCCAAUUUUCUUGAUGGGAGCUUGAAAGGCAAAGGAGGAGCUGUAUACCCUAAGCAUUCAGCUUUUUGCUUGGAAACUCAGAACUGGCCUGAUGCCGUCAACAAGAUCACAGGAACCCACCCAGACCACCGAUUCUUUCAAAUGUUCGUAUAUUGCAGAAGAAUUUCCCAGAUGCAUUGCUGAGACCUGGUGAAGAAUAUAAUCACACAACAUGGUUUACUUUCUCUACUGUGAAAUAGUAAUCUUGACUUGUGUACAGCCUGCAGAUGUGAAGACAGAUUUGCUGACUACUGCGGAGCUGUAGGCAACCAUUGCUCGACACUAAUUGAAAUCUUGCCACAAGGAGGAGCCCAAGAAUAUUGUCUAGUUAACACAUUGAUCUCUAUUUUGCAAAUUCUUUCUAGAAACAUGUAACAGUUCAUUUUUAAAACCAUCAGGAGCAUUUAAAACCUCUAGAUUUUUAAAAUGUAAUUAUUGACCUGAGAUGGGCUUGAAACUAAAUUUGCUAACGUUUUUUUAAGAAUGGCAAAACAAGAUUUUCAAACCAUUCGUAUGGAUUGCUUGAGUUACUACUAUGGAUUAUACUGGCAGUACUUGAUCUCAUGGAUGUUUCUCAAAAUCAUGGUAAGGAUAGCUUUUCUGUACAGUACAAAGCUACUUUUAAAUCUGCAAUCACAAAGGUGAAGAGCAAAAAAAAAACUUGCAAGUGGUAAUGAUUUUAAAUUAAUUUUCAAAAGGGAAUUGGAUAAAUAUCUCAAAUUUCUAGGACCAUGGUGUGAGAAG
Mobula hypostoma (lesser devil ray) is the source of this 1816-nucleotide RNA transcript. It is a transcript of the gene named galactose mutarotase, with no coding region annotated. The transcript is spliced from 8 exons. Lineage: Eukaryota; Metazoa; Chordata; Chondrichthyes; Myliobatiformes; Myliobatidae. The record is from RefSeq and is a predicted model, not a curated record.